This 604-nucleotide ribosomal RNA is filed under the name uncultured bacterium. Its description in RNAcentral is "bacterial SSU rRNA". The stretch from base 1 to 521 matches the Rfam family "Bacterial small subunit ribosomal RNA", at positions 338 to 873 of the family's 1533-position model. The record is from RNAcentral.
CCUACGGGAGGCAGCAGUGGGGAAUCUUGCGCAAUGGGCGAAAGCCUGACGCAGCAACGCCGCGUGCGGGAAGAAGGCUUUCGGGCUGUAAACCGCUUUCAGCAGGAACGAAAAUGACGGUACCUGCAGAAGAAGGAGCGGCCAACUAUGUGCCAGCAGCCGCGGUGAUACAUAGGCUUCAAGCGUUGUCCGGAUUUAUUGGGCGUAAAGAGUUCGUAGGCGGUCGAGUAAGUCGGGUGUGAAAAUUCUGGGCUCGAACCCAGAGACGCCACCCGAUACUGCUUGACUUGAGUUCGAUAGGGGAGUGGGGAAUUCCUAGUGUAGCGGUGAAAUGCGCAGAUAUUAGGAGGAACACCGGUGGCGAAGGCGCCACUCUGGAUCGAUACUGACGCUGAGGAACGAAAGCAUGGGUAGCAAACAGGAUUAGAUACCCUGGUAGUCCAUGCCGUAAACGGUGGGCACUAGGUGUGGGUUUCUAUUAACGAAAUCCGCGCCGUCGCUAACGCAUUAAGUNCCCCGCCUGGGGGUAGGUACGGUCGCGAGACGAAACGACGAAGAAGUAAGUAGCGUUGAGAGUUGCGAAGGACGACGACGAGGGAGGAGG